AAUCCAUAGGUUAAUGAGGCGAACCGGGGGAACUGAAACAUCUAAGUACCCCGAGGAAAAGAAAUCAACCGAGAUUCCCCCAGUAGCGGCGAGCGAACGGGGAGGAGCCCAGAGCCUGAAUCAGCAUGUGUGUUAGUGGAAGCGUCUGGAAAGGCGCGCGAUACAGGGUGACAGCCCCGUACACAAAAGCGCAUGUGCUGUGAGCUCGAUGAGUAGGGCGGGACACGUGGUAUCCUGUCUGAAUAUGGGGGGACCAUCCUCCAAGGCUAAAUACUCCUGACUGACCGAUAGUGAACCAGUACCGUGAGGGAAAGGCGAAAAGAACCCCGGCGAGGGGAGUGAAAAAGAACCUGAAACCGUGUACGUACAAGCAGUGGGAGCACAGGUUUACCUGUGUGACUGCGUACCUUUUGUAUAAUGGGUCAGCGACUUAUAUUCUGUAGCAAGGUUAACCGUAUAGGGGAGCCGUAGGGAAACCGAGUCUUAACCGGGCGUUAAGUUGCAGGGUAUAGACCCGAAACCCGGUGAUCUAGCCAUGGGCAGGUUGAAGGUUGGGUAACACUAACUGGAGGACCGAACCGACUAAUGUUGAAAAAUUAGCGGAUGACCUGUGGCUGGGGGUGAAAGGCCAAUCAAACCGGGAGAUAGCUGGUUCUCCCCGAAAGCUAUUUAGGUAGCGCCUCGUGAAUUCAUCUCCGGGGGUAGAGCACUGUUUCGGCUAGGGGGCCAUCCCGGCUUACCAACCCGAUGCAAACUGCGAAUACCGGAGAAUGUUAUCACGGGAGACACACGGCGGGUGCUAACGUCCGUCGUGAAGAGGGAAACAACCCAGACCGCCAGCUAAGGUCCCAAAGUCAUGGUUAAGUGGGAAACGAUGUGGGAAGGCCCAGACAGCCAGGAUGUUGGCUUAGAAGCAGCCAUCAUUUAAAGAAAGCGUAAUAGCUCACUGGUCGAGUCGGCCUGCGCGGAAGAUGUAACGGGGCUAAACCAUGCACCGAAGCUGCGGCAGCGAACGUAUCACCCAAGACAACUUUACGGAGUUGACGAUUGACGGAGCGAAGCGACGUCAAAGCGUUCAUUAAAGUCGAGUUGGCUUAGGGAUACGUUCGUUGGGUAGGGGAGCGUUCUGUAAGCCUGUGAAGGUGUGUCGUGAGGCAUGCUGGAGGUAUCAGAAGUGCGAAUGCUGACAUAAGUAACGAUAAAGCGGGUGAAAAGCCCGCUCGCCGGAAGACCAAGGGUUCCUGUCCAACGUUAAUCGGGGCAGGGUGAGUCGACCCCUAAGGCGAGGCCGAAAGGCGUAGUCGAUGGGAAACGGGUUAAUAUUCCCGUACUUGGUGUUACUGCGAAGGGGGGACGGAGAAGGCUAUGUUGGCCGGGCGACGGUUGUCCCGGUUUAAGCGUGUAGGUGUGUGUUCCAGGUAAAUCCGGUUCACUUUAACACUGAGGCGUGACGACGAGGCACUACGGUGCUGAAGCAACAAAUGCCCUGCUUCCAGGAAAAGCCUCUAAGCAUCAGGUAACAC
Molecule: ribosomal RNA, 1523 nt
Filed under: Salmonella enterica subsp. enterica serovar Typhimurium
Lineage: Bacteria; Pseudomonadati; Pseudomonadota; Gammaproteobacteria; Enterobacterales; Enterobacteriaceae
Description: partial 23S ribosomal RNA
Rfam family: Bacterial large subunit ribosomal RNA
Source: RNAcentral